This 253-nucleotide ribosomal RNA is filed under the name uncultured bacterium. Its description in RNAcentral is "partial 16S ribosomal RNA". It matches the Rfam family "Bacterial small subunit ribosomal RNA", at positions 524 to 776 of the family's 1533-position model. The record is from RNAcentral.
UACGAAGGGGGCUAGCGUUGUUCGGAAUUACUGGGCGUAAAGCGCACGUAGGCGGACUAUUAAGUCAGGGGUGAAAUCCCGGGGCUCAACCCCGGAACUGCCUUUGAUACUGGUAGUCUCGAGUCCGGAAGAGGUGAGUGGAAUUCCGAGUGUAGAGGUGGAAUUCGUAGAUAUUCGGAGGAACACCAGUGGCGAAGGCGGCUCACUGGUCCGGUACUGACGCUGAGGUGCGAAAGCGUGGGGAGCAAACAGG